This 253-nucleotide ribosomal RNA is filed under the name uncultured bacterium. RNAcentral's name for it is "partial 16S ribosomal RNA". It matches the Rfam family "Bacterial small subunit ribosomal RNA", at positions 524 to 776 of the family's 1533-position model. The record is from RNAcentral.
UACGUAGGGGCCUAGCGUUGUCCGGAUUUAUUGGGCGUAAAGAGCUCGUAGGCGGCACGGUUAGUCAGGUGUGAAAUCUCCACGCUCAACGUGGAGGGGUCACCUGAUACUGCCGAGCUUGAGUCCGGUAGGGGAGUGCGGAAUUCCCGGUGUAGCGGUGAAAUGCGCAGAUAUCAGGAAGAACAUCGGUGGCGAAGGCGCUCUGCUGGACCAUAACUGACACUCAGGGACGAAAGCUAGGGGAGCGAAUGGG